RNAcentral lists this small nucleolar RNA (61 nucleotides) under Thermococcus barophilus MP. RNAcentral's name for it is "Small nucleolar RNA sR45". It matches the Rfam family "Small nucleolar RNA sR45". Lineage: Archaea; Methanobacteriati; Methanobacteriota; Thermococci; Thermococcales; Thermococcaceae. The record is from Rfam by way of RNAcentral.
GUGGAUGAUGAUGCCGAGGACACCCGAGCAGAGGCAAUGAGGACUCUUCGCUUCGCUGACU